UCCUGGCUUAGGAUAAACGCUGGCGGCGUGCUUAACACAUGCAAGUCGAACGGAGUAUUCCUCCGGACGAUUGAAGGAGCUUGCUCUGGAUUGAGUCUUUGGAAUACUUAGUGGCGGACGGGUGAGUAACGCGUGGGUAACCUGCCUCACACAGGGGGAUAACAGUUGGAAACGACUGUUAAUACCGCAUAAGCGCACAGUACCGCAUGGUACAGUGUGAAAAAACUCCGGUGGUGUGAGAUGGACCCGCGUCUGAUUAGCUAGUUGGUGAGGUAACGGCCCACCAAGGCGACGAUCAGUAGCCGGCCUGAGAGGGUGUACGGCCACAUUGGGACUGAGACACGGCCCAAACUCCUACGGGAGGCAGCAGUGGGGAAUAUUGGACAAUGGGGGAAACCCUGAUCCAGCGAACCGCCGCGUGAGUGAUGAAGUAUCUCGGUAUGUAAAGCUCUAUCAGCAGGGAAGAUAAUGACGGUACCUGACUAAGAAGCACCGGCUAAAUACGUGCCAGCCGCCGC
RNAcentral lists this ribosomal RNA (518 nucleotides) under uncultured bacterium. RNAcentral describes it as "bacterial SSU rRNA". It matches the Rfam family "Bacterial small subunit ribosomal RNA", at positions 17 to 518 of the family's 1533-position model. The record is from RNAcentral.